UCUGUUUCAACUGGCAAAUAUUCAGUUACAUUUUCAUGAAUAUUCACAUUUGUUUCAGGUGCAUUCGUUGGAGAAAUUGUUUCGUGUUUUUCUGAUGCUGCAAAUUCGUUUGCCGUCUCCAAAAUGGUUGUUGUUAGCUGGUGGUUCAAAUCUAGCAUAUUUUCGGUCGUAAAGUCUUCGAUUGCUUCUUCUGCACUGGACUUGGUACCCUCAGUUUGAAUCACCGUAGAUACAGGAACAAUAUUCGCAUCUGUUGUUGCAGUAUCAGUGGGGCUUUCGUUCGAUUCCUGUUUCCGUAACACCGACCAAGGUUCUUUCAGGUAUGUUUGUCAUUUUUGUAUUGCUUUCUUGAAUAUGUUGUUCAUUUUCUGCAUUACUGGGUUCUGGUAUAUUUGUAACAUCUUGGACAAAAGUAGUUGUUUCAUAUUCGGUUAGAUUGAAAAAUUGUUCCGAUUCAUAAGUUGCAUUUGUUUGUAUAUUACCUUCCAAAAUAGCUUCUUUUUCUUCAUCAGAUUGCAUGUCAUUUUCUAGUUGUAUAGUGGUUGCGGCAAUUAUCGUUGUAGUGGUGUUGACGUGCAAAUCACUCGUCUGACUUGAGUGUAGGGGCGAAAGACUAAUCGAACCAUCUAGUUGCUGGUUCCUUCCGAAGUUUCCCUCAGGAUAGCUGGCAUUUGUUUGUAACAAUUUUAUCCGGUAGAGCGAAUGAUUAGAGGUGUUGGGAACGCAAUGUUCUCAGCCUAUUCUCAAACUUCGAAUGGGUAAGCAAGGCGUUUUGCUUUGAUUUUACGAUGAAAUCGCCCAAUUAGAAUGCAUAAAUGCCUAGUGGGCCAAUUUUGGUAAGCAGAACUGGCGAUGUGGAAUGAACCAAAAGUCAGGUUAAGGUGCCAGACAUUGGCGCUCAUGAAAUACCAGAAAAGGUGUUGGUCGAUAUAGACAGCAGGACGGUGGCCAUGGAAGUUGGAAUCCGCCAAGGAGUGUGUAACAACUCACCUGCCGAAUCGACUAGCCCUGAAAAUGGAUAGCGUUUGAGCGCCAGGCCCAUACCUGACCGUCUCAAUUACGCACUUUUUUUCGGAAAAGGUGUAAUGAACGUUGAGACGGGUAGGAAGGUCGCGACAGUGUUGCUUUGAAGAGUUUUGAGCGUGAGCUCGCUCGGAGCCGCUGUUGGUGCAGAUCUUGGUGGUAGUAGCAAAUAUUCAAGUGAGAACCUUGAAGGCUGAAGUGGAGCAAGGUUCCAUGUGAACAGCAGUUGGACAUGGGUCAGUCGAUCCUAAGAAAACGGCGAAAGCUUGUUCGAAUUUGCGACAUGAAUUGUAAGACUGUGUGUGUUUAUUGUGUGUGCAGUUGUCGUAUGUUUUCGAAAGGGAAUCCGGUUGAUAUUCCGGAACCGAGUAACGGAGACAAAGAGUAGCGCUUUAAUCUCUCUGUGGGGUUGGCGUUCAACUCAAUCGCGCGGUAACGCAAGCGAACUCGGAAAAUGACCGUCGUGAGUUUCGAAAAGAGUUUUCUUUUCUUUUUAAGGGACGCAUUCCCUGGAACCGGGUUGUCCGGAGAUAGGGAUUCUGGUAUCCAUAAAACGCCGACUUUUUCACGGUGUUCGGAGCGCUCUCGUCGGUACGUGAAAAUCCGAGCGACGCCUGGUAAAUCUCGUACUUGGUCGUACUGAUAUCCGCAGCAGGUCUCCAAGGUGAAUAGCCUCUGGCCGAUAGAAUAAUGUAGGUAAGGGAAGUCGGCAAAACGGAUCCGUAACUUCGGAACAAGGAUUGGCUCUAAGGGCUGGGCCGAUCGGGCUGAGGUUUCAAGCGUGCAGUGUAUGCUUGGCUGAGUUGUGUUGAGGACUUGUUCACUUGCCGCCGUUUGUUCGGUUGGUCUAGUGUAUUCGAGUCUGAAGCAGAGCUGGCCGACAGACCGGCACGUGCAGAACCUGAGCUGCGCGGCUGUCCGUUUACGUGUACAGACCGUUUCGGUCGGCAUUCAACAGCCAACUUAGAACUGGCACGGACACAAGGAAUCUGACUGUAUAAUUAAAACAAAGCAUUGCGAUGGCCGAUGAUCGGUGAUGACGCAAUGUGAUUUCUGCCCAGUGCUCUGAAUGUCAAAGUGAAGAAAUUCAAUCAAGCGCGGGUAAACGGCGGGAGUAACUAUGACUCUCUUAAGGUAGCCAAAUGCCUCGUCAUCUAAUUAGUGACGCGUAUGAAUGGAUCAACAAGAUUCCUUCUGUCCCUAUCUACUAUCUAGCGAAACCACAGCCAAGGGAACGGGCUUGGCAAAAUCAGCGGGGAAAGAAGACCCUGUUGAGCUUGACUCUAGUCUGACUCUGUGAAGAGACAUGAAAGGUGUAGCAUAGGUGGGAGAUUGUCAAAUUGCCAUCGUUCGCGCGGUGGUCCGGUGAUCGCCAAUGAAAUACCACUACUUUGAUCGUUUCUUUACUUAUUCGGUAAAGCGAAAAAAUUGUGGCCAAUUUGGCGGUGUUUAUGUCGCUGUUGGUCAUUGUUUUCAUGUUAGAUUGAAGCUUUGUUUACAGCCGUCGCUUUGUGUCGCCAUUUGACGCAUUGUUGUACUGGGUUAUCCGUUGCCCAGUUCUUUCCCAUCUGAUAUUGCCAGACAUCGUGGAAAUACCAACCAAACGGAAUCAGAUCAGACCAAUAAAUUCCAUCUCCUCGAUCUUUCAUCCAAUCUUGAGAGACUCUAAUUUGUAGCAGACCGCCGGUAUAUUUGCGCCACGCAUCAGGUUUCAUGUCUGUCUUGCUCAUGGUACGUGGAUUGAAUGAAAAUACGCCUCUGUUUGGAGAAUUUCUAGCAAUCGAGCCAACCUGUUCAAAGCUGUGACCAAGUACAUCUUCCCAAUAACCCCACAAUGGCGAUAGGUUUGAAGUGAUUCGCUCCGGAAACAGUGUCAGACGGGGAGUUUGACUGGGGCGGUACAUCUGUUAAACGAUAACGCAGGUGUCCUAAGGUAAGCUCAGCGAGGACAGAAACCUCGCUUAGAGUAAACGGGCACAAGCUUACUUGAUUUUGAUUUCCAGUACGAAUAGAAACCGCGAAAGCGUGGCCUAUCGAUCCUUUUGAUUGUGUAGAUUUCAUGCAAGAGGUGUCAGAAAAGUUACCACAGGGAUAACUGGCUUGUGGCAGCCAAGCGUCCAUAGCGACGUUGCUUUUUGAUCCUUCGAUGUCGGCUCUUCCUAUCAUUGCGAAGCAGAAUUCGCCAAGCGUUGGAUUGUUCACCCACCAAUAGGGAACGUGAGCUGGGAUUAGACCGUCGUGAGACAGGUUAGUUUUACCCUACUGAUGACAAGUCGUUGCGAUAGUAAUCCUGCUCAGUACGAGAGGAACCGCGGGAUCAGACAUUUGGUUCAUGCGCUCGGCUGAAAGGCCGGUGGCGCGAAGCUAGCAUCUGCAAGAUUAUGACUGAACGCCUCUAAGUCAGAAUCUUUUCUAGUCAUUGGCAACGAUAAGUUGCGUCCAGACUCGAUGCGAGGAAACGAUUAGGCUUUGCUAUACGGCGAAGCCAUUAUCAGACCACGGUAGCAGGCAGUAUGGGAUUGUUACGAAAAAGCAAUUUUUUGAAGUCAGUUGAAUUCAAUCAAACUGCUAACAAUUCCACUGCGAAUGACUCCAUUCGAAUCAAU
This 3629-nucleotide ribosomal RNA is filed under the name Trichinella sp. T8. Its description in RNAcentral is "eukaryotic LSU rRNA". It matches the Rfam family "Eukaryotic large subunit ribosomal RNA", at positions 442 to 3401 of the family's 3401-position model. The record is from RNAcentral. Lineage: Eukaryota; Metazoa; Nematoda; Enoplea; Trichinellida; Trichinellidae.